CAGAGUUUGGUGCUGCUGCAUUUAGACAGCGUAAUGUGUUUUAAGUGCAGUGAUUAUGUGAGUGUGUAAAACCCCAACUGUGUGUUGAAUGUGUGUUUUGGGGUGCUUUCAGGAUGUUAAGCUGGGUGGGUAAAGUGGUUCCCCAGCCCCCAGAGGCCUGCGAGGAGAAACCAGAAGCACGGCCUUCUGCAGCUGAGAAGAAGGUGACAUUCAAGGAAGAAAGCAAAAAAGCGGUGACACUAAAAGAAGAGGAGGCGUCUGAGGACAGCAGGUGAGUCUUAAUAAAUAUUAAUUAAAGAGAUAGUCCCCAGUAUUUAGCAUCUUGCUGUGCACAAGCAGAGUGCACAAAGUUUGAACUGCCGUGCAUGCAUGAGUUAACUUCCUUGUCAGAGGCGGCCUCGCUCAUGAGUCCAAAAAGAAUCCACGGAAGUUUCCACUUUGAUUCCCUCA
Molecule: long non-coding RNA, 450 nt
Filed under: Gadus morhua (Atlantic cod)
Lineage: Eukaryota; Metazoa; Chordata; Actinopteri; Gadiformes; Gadidae
Description: lncRNA (ENSGMOG00000029382.1)
Source: RNAcentral